RNAcentral lists this ribosomal RNA (253 nucleotides) under uncultured prokaryote. RNAcentral describes it as "partial 16S ribosomal RNA". It matches the Rfam family "Bacterial small subunit ribosomal RNA", at positions 523 to 775 of the family's 1533-position model. The record is from RNAcentral.
AGACAGAGGGGGCAAGCGUUGUCCGGAUUUACUGGGCGUACAGCGCGCGCAGGCGGGCGGCAAGGUGCCGUGUGACAAGCCGGGGCUCAACCCCGGAGGGUCAGGGUAGACCGGUCGCCUGGAGGCAGGGAGAGGGACGUGGAAUACCCGGUGGAGCGGUGAAAUGCGUAGAGAUCGGGUGGAACACCAGGGGCGUAGGCGGCGUCCUGGCCCUGUACUGACGCUGAGGCGCGAGAGCGUGGGGAGCGAACCG